GAUGAAGAACGCAGCGAAAUGCGAUAAGUAGUGUGAAUUGCAGAAUUUAGUGAAUCAUCGAGUCUUUGAACGCAAGUUGCGCCCGAAGCCAUUAGGCCGAGGGCACGCCUGCCUGGGCGUCACACGUCGUUGCCCCCCCAUCUACUCCUUCGGGAUUGCGGGGGGCGGAUGAUGGCCUCCCGUGCGCCUCGUCGCGCGGUUGGCAUAAAUGCCAAGUCCUCGGCGACGCACGCCACGACAAUCGGUGGUUGCGAAACCUCGGUUGCCCGUCGUGUGCGGUCGUCGCGCAUCGAGGGCUCGAAAAAAUUGCCGGGCUCCGGCUCGGCUUUCAACGCGACCCCAGGUCAGGCGGGGUUACCCGCUGAAUUUAAGCAUAUCAAUAAGCGGAGGA
Molecule: unclassified non-coding RNA, 391 nt
Filed under: soil metagenome
Description: partial contains 5.8S ribosomal RNA, internal transcribed spacer 2, and large subunit ribosomal RNA
Rfam family: 5.8S ribosomal RNA (bases 1-122)
Source: RNAcentral